GAAUGAGAAACUAAAGAAUCAGCGCCGCAGCGGUGAUGCGAGUUUGUUUGGUACUAAAUUAAGGACAAUACAUAACCUCACAGUUUAAAUCAAAAUAUCAAACUAUAAAAAAACUAUAUUUUUGUGAUAUCAAAUAUAAAAAUCAAUGAUUAUCUGAAUAUUCUGAAUUUUCCGAUGUAGAUUAAAAAACAACACUCCAGGUCAAUCACGUAAAAAGUAUAAAAUAGGAAGAAUACUAGAAAGUUGUUUUUCAAGCUGCAGACUUGGUCAAUUACGCUUGUGCUAUGUCACAUCUUUAAAAGAGCAUAAAAAGUUAAGAGAACUGCAUUUAACAAUAACAAACUACACAAUCCGUACCAUUUACAGUGAGCACAAUCACUUUUAUGAGGUGAUUUUCCUCAAAGACUUGCAUUUUGUUGAUGGCUACAACAAAAAAUAGGAAAAAAUCCUCAGUUCAUAGUAAGAAUACUAUUGAAUACAAAUGAAGCAAAUUUCUCAAAAAAUGCAAUUAUGGAUUUUUACAUAAUCACAUAUGGGCAUAUGAAAAUCUGCAUGGAAUUAUUGAAAGUCGGCACAAGGAACAAUUUUUUCUGUAUGGGUGGGAAUUGUUGGAAAUCACUUGAUUGGUUCAUUUUUUUUUGCCAGAACUAUUAACUGGAGAUAUUUAUCAGCAUUUUCUCGAAGAGAAACUGCCUGCAUUAUUAGAAGUUCCCCAUGAGCUAAGAUAUGAAAUGUAUUUAAUGCACAAUGGUGCUGCAGCACCCUUUAGCUUAAUUGCGUGAGAUUACUUUGAUAGAGAAUAUCCCAAUCCCUGGAUAGGUCCCGGAGGUCCACAACCAUGGCCUCCGCAAUUUCCUGAUUUAAACUCAUUAGACUUUUCCUCUGGGGUGACCUAAAACAAUUAGUUUAUACGUAUUACUCUGAUUCAAAAUAUUGAAGAGUUAAGAAAGAAAUAUGAUAGUGGGAAGUUGCACAACACUUCGAAACAAAGCAGGCAUUUUUGAAUGAGUGCAGCAAUCAAUGGUUCAUAGGGUACACUUGCAACAACUUUUAUAACCUCUACUCCUUGUGUUUGUGUUUUACAUCACCCUUUGUAAAAACCUCUGAUUUUAUAAGAAUUAAAUUGAAUAAAUAAAA
Anthonomus grandis grandis is the source of this 1137-nucleotide long non-coding RNA. RefSeq lists it as uncharacterized. The record is from RefSeq and is a predicted model, not a curated record. The transcript is spliced from 2 exons. NCBI's taxonomy places the organism in Eukaryota, Metazoa, Arthropoda, Insecta, Coleoptera, Curculionidae.